This 328-nucleotide long non-coding RNA is filed under the name Cyanistes caeruleus (blue tit). RNAcentral's name for it is "lncRNA (ENSCCEG00000012436.1)". Lineage: Eukaryota; Metazoa; Chordata; Aves; Passeriformes; Paridae. The record is from RNAcentral.
AAAUUUCUUACAACUUGUGUCAGUGGGUUACCUUUGUGGAUUACAGGUUCUUGAGCAAGAGCCUGGAUUAACUGUGUGGAGGAAGCAUGCUUACCAGCUCCCAAAAAGGAACAGUCCUUCCUUCUUACUAAAAGAUUUUAUCUCCUGCUGAAAUGGCAGCUGAACAGUGGAAUAACUGAAAUACUGGCAAAAGACUAGUGUUUGGGUCUGUUGUGCUGUGACAGGGAAAAGCAGCUCUCUGUGGCCUCCAUGGCUGAUCGGUAGCUAAAGUGAAAGAGCAGAGCAACACUUACUUCAAUAAGCAAGUAUUCAAUCAUAGUAAGUUCAA